RNAcentral lists this ribosomal RNA (2936 nucleotides) under Rouxiella badensis. RNAcentral describes it as "bacterial LSU rRNA". It matches the Rfam family "Bacterial large subunit ribosomal RNA". Lineage: Bacteria; Pseudomonadati; Pseudomonadota; Gammaproteobacteria; Enterobacterales; Yersiniaceae. The record is from RNAcentral.
GGGUUGUGAGGUUAAGCGACUAAGCGUACACGGUGGAUGCCUAGGCAGUCAGAGGCGAUGAAGGGCGUGCUAAUCUGCGAAAAGCGUCGGUAAGGUGAUAUGAACCGUUAUACCCGACGAUACCCGAAUGGGGAAACCCAAUGUGAUACGUCACAUUAUCGCAUGGUGAAUACAUAGCCAUGCGAGGCGAACCGGGGGAACUGAAACAUCUAAGUACCCCGAGGAAAAGAAAUCAACCGAGAUUCCCCCAGUAGCGGCGAGCGAACGGGGAACAGCCCAGAACCUGAAUCAGUUUGUGUGUUAGUGGAAGCGUCUGGAAGGUCGCACGGUACAGGGUGAUAGUCCCGUACACAAAAGCGCAUAAAUUGUGAGUUCGAUGAGUAGGGCGGGACACGUGACAUCCUGUCUGAAUAUGGGGGGACCAUCCUCCAAGGCUAAAUACUCCUGACUGACCGAUAGUGAACCAGUACCGUGAGGGAAAGGCGAAAAGAACCCCGGCGAGGGGAGUGAAAUAGAACCUGAAACCGUGUACGUACAAGCAGUGGGAGCCUACUUGUUAGGUGACUGCGUACCUUUUGUAUAAUGGGUCAGCGACUUAUAUUUUGUAGCAAGGUUAACCGUAUAGGGGAGCCGUAGGGAAACCGAGUCUUAACUGGGCGUCAAGUUGCAAGGUAUAGACCCGAAACCCGGUGAUCUAGCCAUGGGCAGGUUGAAGGUUGGGUAACACUAACUGGAGGACCGAACCGACUAAUGUUGAAAAAUUAGCGGAUGACUUGUGGCUGGGGGUGAAAGGCCAAUCAAACCGGGAGAUAGCUGGUUCUCCCCGAAAGCUAUUUAGGUAGCGCCUCGUGAACUCAUCUUCGGGGGUAGAGCACUGUUUCGACUAGGGGGCCAUCCCGGCUUACCAACUCGAUGCAAACUCCGAAUACCGAAGAAUGUUAUCACGGGAGACACACGGCGGGUGCUAACGUCCGUCGUGAAGAGGGAAACAACCCAGACCGCCAGCUAAGGUCCCAAAGUCAUGGUUAAGUGGGAAACGAUGUGGGAAGGCAUAGACAGCCAGGAUGUUGGCUUAGAAGCAGCCAUCAUUUAAAGAAAGCGUAAUAGCUCACUGGUCGAGUCGGCCUGCGCGGAAGAUGUAACGGGGCUAAACCAUGCACCGAAGCUGCGGCAGCGACGCUUAGGCGUUGUUGGGUAGGGGAGCGUUCUGUAAGCCGUAGAAGGUGAACUGUGAGGUUUGCUGGAGGUAUCAGAAGUGCGAAUGCUGACAUAAGUAACGAUAAUGCGGGUGAAAAACCCGCACGCCGGAAGACCAAGGGUUCCUGUCCAACGUUAAUCGGGGCAGGGUGAGUCGACCCCUAAGGCGAGGCUGAAAAGCGUAGUCGAUGGGAAACAGGUUAAUAUUCCUGUACUUGGUGUUACUGCGAAGGGGGGACGGAGAGGGCUAGGCUAGCCGGGCGACGGUUGUCCCGGUUUAAGCGUGUAGGGGUGUAGACCUGGUAAAUCCGGUUUACUGUAACCCUGAGGCGUGAUGACGAGUCACUACGGUGAUGAAGUAGUUGAUGCCGCACUUCCAGGAAAAGCCUCUAAGCAUCAGGUAACAUUAAAUCGUACCCCAAACCGACACAGGUGGUCAGGUAGAGAAUACUCAGGCGCUUGAGAGAACUCGGGUGAAGGAACUAGGCAAAAUGGUGCCGUAACUUCGGGAGAAGGCACGCUGUCGCUAGGUGGAGGAACUUGCUUCCCGAGCCGAAGACAGUCGAAGAUACCAGCUGGCUGCAACUGUUUAAUAAAAACACAGCACUGUGCAAACACGAAAGUGGACGUAUACGGUGUGACGCCUGCCCGGUGCCGGAAGGUUAAUUGAUGGGGUUAUCCGCAAGGAGAAGCUCUUGAUCGAAGCCCCGGUAAACGGCGGCCGUAACUAUAACGGUCCUAAGGUAGCGAAAUUCCUUGUCGGGUAAGUUCCGACCUGCACGAAUGGCGUAAUGAUGGCCAGGCUGUCUCCACCCGAGACUCAGUGAAAUUGAACUCGCUGUGAAGAUGCAGUGUACCCGCGGCAAGACGGAAAGACCCCGUGAACCUUUACUAUAGCUUGACACUGAACAUUGAGCCUUGAUGUGUAGGAUAGGUGGGAGGCUUUGAAGCGUGGACGCCAGUCUGCGUGGAGCCAACCUUGAAAUACCACCCUUUAAUGUUUGAUGUUCUAACUCGGCCCCGUAAUCCGGGGUGAGGACAGUGUCUGGUGGGUAGUUUGACUGGGGCGGUCUCCUCCUAAAGAGUAACGGAGGAGCACGAAGGUUAGCUAAUCACGGUCGGACAUCGUGAGGUUAGUGCAAUGGCAUAAGCUAGCUUGACUGCGAGAGUGACGGCUCGAGCAGGUACGAAAGUAGGUCAUAGUGAUCCGGUGGUUCUGAAUGGAAGGGCCAUCGCUCAACGGAUAAAAGGUACUCCGGGGAUAACAGGCUGAUACCGCCCAAGAGUUCAUAUCGACGGCGGUGUUUGGCACCUCGAUGUCGGCUCAUCACAUCCUGGGGCUGAAGUAGGUCCCAAGGGUACGGCUGUUCGCCGUUUAAAGUGGUACGCGAGCUGGGUUUAGAACGUCGUGAGACAGUUCGGUCCCUAUCUGCCGUGGGCGUUGGAAGAUUGAGAGGGGCUGCUCCUAGUACGAGAGGACCGGAGUGGACGCAUCACUGGUGUUCGGGUUGUCAUGCCAAUGGCAUUGCCCGGUAGCUAAAUGCGGAAAAGAUAAGCGCUGAAAGCAUCUAAGCGCGAAACUUGCCUCAAGAUGAGUCUUCCCUGGAGCUUCGAGCUCCCUGAAGGGACGUUUAAGACUAAGACGUUGAUAGGCUGGGUGUGUAAGUGCAGCGAUGCAUUGAGCUAACCAGUACUAAUGACCCGAGAGGCUUAACCUUACAACACCGAAGGUGUUUUAG